GUAGGGGGCAAGCGUUGUCCGGAUUUACUGGGCGUAAAGAGCGUGUAGGCGGCUAAGCAGGUCUGUUGUGAAAACUGGAGGCUCAACCUCCAAACGUCGACCGAAACCGCUUGGCUAGAGUCCGGAAGAGGAGAGUGGAAUUCCUGGUGUAGCGGUGAAAUGCGCAGAUAUCAGGAAGAACACCAGUGGCGAAGGCAGCUCUCUGGGACGGUACUGACGCUGAAACGCGAAAGCGUGGGGAGCGAACAGGAUUAAAUACCCUGGUAGUCCACGCCGUAAACGAUGGAUGCUAGGUGUGGGGGGUGUCGACUCCCUCCGUGCCGCAGCCUACGCAUUAAGCACCCCGCCUGGGGAGCACGGCCGCAAGGCUA
This 371-nucleotide ribosomal RNA is filed under the name uncultured bacterium. RNAcentral's name for it is "bacterial SSU rRNA". It matches the Rfam family "Bacterial small subunit ribosomal RNA", at positions 527 to 896 of the family's 1533-position model. The record is from RNAcentral.